GGACGAACGCUGGCGGCGUGCUUAACACAUGCAAGUCGAACGCUGAAGCCUAGCUUGCUGGGUGGAUGAGUGGCGAACGGGUGAGUAACACGUGAGUAACCUGCCCCCUUCUUUGGGAUAACGCCCGGAAACGGGUGCUAAUACUGGAUAUUCACUGGUCUUCGCAUGGGGGUUGGUGGAAAGGUUUUUUCUGGUGGGGGAUGGGCUCGCGGCCUAUCAGCUUGUUGGUGGGGUGAUGGCCUACCAAGGCUUUGACGGGUAGCCGGCCUGAGAGGGUGACCGGUCACAUUGGGACUGAGAUACGGCCCAGACUCCUACGGGAGGCAGCAGUGGGGAAUAUUGCACAAUGGGCGAAAGCCUGAUGCAGCGACGCCGCGUGAGGGAUGGAGGCCUUCGGGUUGUAAACCUCUUUCGCUCAUGGUCAAGCCGCAACAUUGGUUGUGGUGAGGGUAGUGGGUAAAGAAGCGCCGGCUAACUACGU
This 481-nucleotide ribosomal RNA is filed under the name Actinomyces sp. 'ARUP UnID 70'. RNAcentral's name for it is "bacterial SSU rRNA". It matches the Rfam family "Bacterial small subunit ribosomal RNA", at positions 27 to 506 of the family's 1533-position model. RNAcentral also lists the same sequence under 1 other name. Lineage: Bacteria; Bacillati; Actinomycetota; Actinomycetes; Actinomycetales; Actinomycetaceae. The record is from RNAcentral.